AUUGAACGCUGGCGGAAUGCUUUACACAUGCAAGUCGAACGGCAGCACGGGGGCAGCCCUGGUGGCGAGUGGCGAACGGGUGAGUAAUACAUCGGAACGUGCCCGGUCGUGGGGGAUAACGUAGCGAAAGUUACGCUAAUACCGCAUACGAUCUGAGGAUGAAAGCGGGGGACCUUCGGGCCUCGCGCGAUCGGAGCGGCCGAUGUCAGAUUAGGUAGUUGGUGGGGUAAAGGCCUACCAAGCCGACGAUCUGUAGCUGGUCUGAGAGGACGACCAGCCACACUUGGACUGGAGCACCGCCCAGACCCCUACGGGAGGCAGCAGUGGGGAAUUUUGGGCAAUGGGCGGAAACCUUAUCCAGCCAAUCCGCGUGGAAGACGGAGGCCUUCGGGGUGGAAAAUGCUUUUGUUCGGGAAGAAAAGGCUCUGGCUAAUACCUGGGGCUCAUGACGGUACCGUAAGAAUAAGCACCGGCUAACUACGUG
Molecule: ribosomal RNA, 484 nt
Filed under: uncultured bacterium
Lineage: Bacteria
Description: partial 16S ribosomal RNA
Rfam family: Bacterial small subunit ribosomal RNA
Source: RNAcentral